AUGAAGCACAAUGAGCCGGCUGCGUGUGCAUAUAAACUUGAUCUCUCGAAGGCAUAUGAUCGUGUGGAUUGGGAUUUUUUGGAGCAAGCGCUAUCCAAAUGGGGUUUUUCGGCCCUAUGGAUUUCUUGGAUCAUGGCUUGCGUGAAGUCUGUGAAAUACUCUGUCAAAUUUAAUGGAAAAUUGCUACAUGGUUUUACCCCAUCCAGGGGUCUUCGUCAAGGUGAUCCACUGUCCCCGUUCCUCUCCCUUUUUGUUGCUGACGCUGUGUCUGCUCUCAUCUCAAAGUCAGUGAAUGAAGGGGAAUUGAAGGGGGUCACCAUAUGUAGAGGGGCACCGAUUAUUUCUCAUCUCCUGUUCGCGGAUGAUACUAUGUUGCUUUUUGAAGCGUCGGAUCAGCAGGCAAGUAUUGUCAAAGGUUUGUUGAACACUUACACUAGAGCGACGGGUCAACUCGGAAAGGUGUUCCAUCCUUUUUUCUAA
RNAcentral lists this ribosomal RNA (480 nucleotides) under Triticum aestivum (bread wheat). RNAcentral's name for it is "partial small subunit ribosomal RNA". The record is from RNAcentral. Lineage: Eukaryota; Viridiplantae; Streptophyta; Magnoliopsida; Poales; Poaceae.